This 577-nucleotide ribosomal RNA is filed under the name uncultured bacterium. Its description in RNAcentral is "bacterial SSU rRNA". It matches the Rfam family "Bacterial small subunit ribosomal RNA", at positions 56 to 633 of the family's 1533-position model. The record is from RNAcentral.
UGCAGUCGACGGAGCUGUUUUCUCUGAAGUUUUCGGAUGGAAGAGAGUUCAGCUUAGUGGCGAACGGGUGAGUAACACGUGAGCAACCUGCCUUUCAGUGGGGGACAACAUUUGGAAACGAAUGCUAAUACCGCAUAAGACCACAGUGUCGCAUGGCACAGGGGUCAAAGGAUUUAUCCGCUGAAAGAUGGGCUCGCGUCCGAUUAGCUAGAUGGUGAGGUAACGGCCCACCAUGGCGACGAUCGGUAGCCGGACUGAGAGGUUGAACGGCCACAUUGGGACUGAGACACGGCCCAGACUCCUACGGGAGGCAGCAGUGGGGAAUAUUGCACAAUGGGGGAAACCCUGAUGCAGCGACGCCGCGUGGAGGAAGAAGGUCUUCGGAUUGUAAACUCCUGUCCCAGGGGACGAUAAUGACGGUACCCUGGGAGGAAGCACCGGCUAACUACGUGCCAGCAGCCGCGGUAAAACGUAGGGUGCAAGCGUUGUCCGGAAUUACUGGGUGUAAAGGGAGCGCAGCGGAUUGGCAAGUUGGGAGUGAAAUCUAUGGGCUCAACCCAUAAAUUGCUUUCAAAAC